RNAcentral lists this long non-coding RNA (404 nucleotides) under Gorilla gorilla gorilla (western lowland gorilla). RNAcentral's name for it is "lncRNA (ENSGGOG00000044653.1)". The record is from RNAcentral. Lineage: Eukaryota; Metazoa; Chordata; Mammalia; Primates; Hominidae.
AUCAGCAGCGGGAAUUCUCUGCUUCCUUGUUCCCCUUGGGCUAGUACAAGAAUCCUGGGGUCCUCGUAAGAACUUCCAUUUUAUGUUCUUGUCUUCUCAUCAGUUUGAGUUGUGUCUUUAACAUGGGAGAGAAAAACAACUUGCAAGAUUUUCUUUCGAGCUGAUUACCAACUCCUACCACUGUUAACCCUCAUCCAGGAACAAGCUUAUGUCUUUAACAUUCUGAGUGGGCUUCAGCAUCCUUGCAUAUGUUCAAUUCUCAAAAACCUGUUGAAAUAAAAGAUCAGGAGACAUAGGAAGGAUGCCAGAAGAGAGCGUGGUAAGUGGGGGAGAAUCUUUCCCCAAGGGAUUGGAGGUAUUUCAGGAUUAGACUAUGUAUAUCUAUAAGCAUGCAUAUAUAUUUA